CAUAGCCUCAGAAAGGUAAAAAGUGAUCCAGAAACACUUAUUUGUGGCGAUCUGGGUUUGUGUGUUUGUGUGUGUGUGUUUGUAUUGUGCUUGCAACAUUGCCUCAGUGUUUCAGUUGGUGUUGGAGUUCUCAGGUGUGCUGAGGGACAGGUGCGACUCAUUCUGCUGAUUGCUUGGAGGAAUACUUUAGCAGGAGGCUGCCAGCUCUUCAACGCCAGAGUGUUUGCUUACUGUGGUAACAAGCUCAGCCAAUGCUAAGUCUAUGCUUUGUGUUUCUUUCUGGAAUAACUUUGUUUAUGUCCCUUCGCAGACUAAGAAUCUGAACUUUGGAUUUAUGUCACUGGACAACUGACUUUGUGUCCAGGAGUUUUCUGGAUGACCAAGAUUAUCUGCGUUCUGAGGGCUUCAUUUCCUAACUAUUGUUCCCGUCUGGAUUACCGACCAAGCUGGCAGCUUCCUCCAUCUCCAGGACCUAAGCGUACCCUGUCCACCCUCCAACGCAAGUAUCAGCACAAACUAACUAACUCAAUCAUCUCCAAGCUCACCCAAGAAGCACCUAAGAAACCAACAGAACAAACUCUGUUACGACAACUUGGAUACCGAAUCCCUCUACCCCUGGCGACCUGACCUCACCUACAGUGAACUGACAAGAAAGGGAUGGAGGGAGAGGAUGGGAAGACAUACAGCAAAGGUCAAUGGACCGGAACUCAAACCCAUGAACCUGAGGACUAAGGGCUGCUGACACACAGAUUUUCUACUUUGUUGCGUAUGCUGGUGUGUGACUUUUUAGUGAAAAGGUCCCUUUUAAAUAUGAGGUAUGCAUGUUGUUUAAGAUGCACCUAUUUUACAUACACCGUAAGCCGUGUGUAUUAGGAUGUGUUGCUUGUGUAAUAUACAGUGUGCUACGGCAUGACGACACCCUGUGUUUUUUCAUUAUAACUACCUUAAGACAG
Long non-coding RNA from Girardinichthys multiradiatus, 953 nucleotides. RefSeq lists it as uncharacterized. NCBI's taxonomy places the organism in Eukaryota, Metazoa, Chordata, Actinopteri, Cyprinodontiformes, Goodeidae. The record is from RefSeq and is a predicted model, not a curated record. The transcript has 2 exons.